This 301-nucleotide ribosomal RNA is filed under the name uncultured Lactobacillus sp. RNAcentral's name for it is "bacterial SSU rRNA". It matches the Rfam family "Bacterial small subunit ribosomal RNA", at positions 494 to 795 of the family's 1533-position model. Lineage: Bacteria; Bacillati; Bacillota; Bacilli; Lactobacillales; Lactobacillaceae. The record is from RNAcentral.
CGGUGAACGUAGUGGCAGCAGGGGCUGUAAGGCGGAGGUGGCAAGCGUGGUCCCGAUGCAGUGGGCGUAAAGCGCGCGCAGGCGGUCUGCUACGUCUGGGGUGAAAACCCGGGGCUCAACCCCGGGACUGCCUUGGAUACGGGAAGACGUGAGGAUCGGAGAGGCAAGGGGAAUUCCACGUGUAGCGGUGAAAUGCGUAGAGAUGUGGAGGAACACCUGUGGCGAAGGCGCCUUGCUGGCCGAUUUCUGACGCUGAGGCGCGAAAGCGUGGGGAGCAAACAGGAUUAGAACCCUGGUAGUC